Erigeron canadensis is the source of this 1028-nucleotide long non-coding RNA. RefSeq lists it as uncharacterized. NCBI's taxonomy places the organism in Eukaryota, Viridiplantae, Streptophyta, Magnoliopsida, Asterales, Asteraceae. The transcript is spliced from 2 exons. The record is from RefSeq and is a predicted model, not a curated record.
UAUUAGGUAAGACGGUUGGGUAGUACUAUAAAAUGCUUGUUGCGGUUGGGUUGGGCUGACCUGCAAAAACCUUUUUAUAAUCAUCAACUUAAUGACUUUUUCCAUCUACAACUUUGUUUAUACUCUUAUGGUAUUAAUGGUUUGGUGUUUGGCCAAGCACAACAUCAACAAAUGCUACUUUUCUUUCUUUAUUGAAGAACCUAUAGUAUACAUUAGACUAUCUUCAAAUGUGGUUAUCAUGACUCACUUGAAAGGGUAAUUUUUUUUAUUUUUUUUAAUUGAGUGGCUGUAUAGGUUUUUGACAGUAAUCUGUUCUAUUGGAGUAUUGGGAUUGGGUUAUAUGUGUGGGUUGUGGAAACCCAAGAACAUGAACAACAGUUUGAGAAAUCAACUUAGGAUGUAGUACCACAUGCAGCAUUUGUAGAAGAAAUGACAGAUGCCAUGAUGGUUAAAUACACAGGCUGGAGCCUGGACGGGAGAGAGUUGGUUGUUAAGGAUAUAAACAUUGUGAUGGGAAUCGCAAGUGGUUGCUCGCGGUUGGUGAUCCCAAGCAACCUGUUGUUGGCUGAGUUCAUGAUAAUGCCCGCACAUAGCCAGGAGUAGUCCAAGCCAAUAAAUGGGUUGUGGCAUUAUCUUGAGGACUAUAUUGUCACGGAUGUUCUGUUUUAAGAGUGAGACGCAGAGUUAAAUUUGUUUGGCCAUCAUGUAAAUGAUAUCUCAAUCGUUGCGUCUAUAUGUAUCUGAUUUCCUUAUUGUCAACACAAUUAUAAAGUUGAAGAUAUUAGAUAGAGGCAUAGAGCAAAUGAAAAGAAGGUGAUAAACUUACAACCGUUUUUAUCUAUUUACAACCAUAUCUGUCCAUAUCGUAUAGCUGUCUUGUAUGAUGUAUUUAUUGUAAAAAGGAUUGUAAGUUAGCAAGUGUUCAAAUGACAUCAAUUGCUCAUUCAAAGGCGUUGGUAGAUACUUGUUUUUUUAAUUGAAAAGGUUGAUCAUUUUACUAUACUUUAUACUAUAAGUAAUUUAAAUUA